UGUCGUAAUGGUAAUUCAACUAGUACGAGAGGAACCGUUGAUUCAGAUAUUUGGUCUUGGCGCUUGGUUGAGAAGCUAUUGGCGCGGAGCUACCAUCUGUUUGGAAGAUUAUGGCUGAACGCCUCUAAGCCAGAAACCCUGCUAGAAACGACGAUAACAAUUUUCUCAACCUCGAUCUUUGGUAAAUAUAGGAAAGGAUUUAUUUUUUUUUUCUGCUUUUAAUUUUAAAUAGCCUAUGACAAGAAAAAAAAGUU
RNAcentral lists this ribosomal RNA (254 nucleotides) under Hemiselmis tepida. Its description in RNAcentral is "partial Eukaryotic large subunit ribosomal RNA". It matches the Rfam family "Eukaryotic large subunit ribosomal RNA", at positions 3009 to 3260 of the family's 3401-position model. The record is from RNAcentral. Lineage: Eukaryota; Cryptophyceae; Cryptomonadales; Hemiselmidaceae.